This 612-nucleotide long non-coding RNA is filed under the name Ananas comosus (pineapple). Its description in RNAcentral is "long non-coding RNA (ACOM_LNC002958)". The record is from RNAcentral. Lineage: Eukaryota; Viridiplantae; Streptophyta; Magnoliopsida; Poales; Bromeliaceae.
AAAUACCCGUAUGUCUUUUCACUUUUCCUCCCUGACUUUCAGAAAUUUAUAUUUUGCCCCUCUUAAAAUUUCAAAUUAUUGCAUUUAGCCCCCCCUCCCCCUCUCCUUCGCCGGAGUUCCAUUACUAUUCUGUCCAUUUUUUGUAAUUUAUACCGAAAAUAUCUUUCAAAAUUACAAAAAUAUAUUAAAAAAUUAUUUAUUUAUUUUUUUAUAGAAGAAGUUAGAAGAAUUUGGUCAUUUUGCCCUCUCCAUUAACACUUUACUGCUCUUAAAAUAUUUCUGAAAUUUUAAGGGAGCAAAAUAUAGGUUUUUGAAAAUUAGAGAGAGAAAGUGAAAAAGCAGGCAUUUAUAGGGAGAUUUUCUGUAAUUUAGCCUAAUUUUUGACUCGAACUUUCUGAAUUUUUUACAAUCUAGUCCCGCAAUCCAUUUUAGUUGAUCAAAUAUUAAUAAAUUAUUAAUAUAGAAGUAAGUGUUACGUAGCAUUAUAAUUAUUGUCGUAUUAGUAGUAACAAUAUAUACUUUUAUAUUAUUUUUACAUUAAUAAUUUGUCAGUAUUUAGCUAACUAAAUUAAGUUGCAGAACUUUAUUACAAUAAUUCAAAAAGUUUAAAUC